CUGCAGCCAAUUACGCCAACUGUGCUCUUUCUCCAUGGGGGCCCAGUGUGCCAUGGCUGCAAAUGGUAGCCUCCCUGGUAGUGUAAACAGCCUGUUGAUUUUAUGGGUUACCCGAAGGGACCUUGGAGAUAGCC
Mustela putorius furo (domestic ferret) is the source of this 134-nucleotide small nucleolar RNA. Its record names the gene SNORA70. It matches the Rfam family "Small nucleolar RNA SNORA70". From Rfam's summary of the family: snoRNA U70 seems to be exclusive to mammals and is a member of the H/ACA class of snoRNA which contain H (ANANNA) and ACA box motifs. H/ACA box snoRNAs are involved in the conversion of uridines to pseudouridines (5-ribosyluracil) a constituent of structural RNAs (transfer, ribosomal, small nuclear, and small nucleolar). NCBI's taxonomy places the organism in Eukaryota, Metazoa, Chordata, Mammalia, Carnivora, Mustelidae. The record is from Ensembl.